AAAACGCCAAUAAGGAUAAAAGUCCUCUACUUAAACUACUAAAGCAUCUAUUAGUGCUGUAGCCCAAUUUGUCCUACUUUAUCUAGGACUGUCUUUAUAUAGAACUCCAUGCUGUUCAAGAUCAAAAUCAAGCUCACUUUGACUUUGGCACAAAUAACCAGUCUUAAUAAAACUAGAACUCACAAAUGAACCACCAACUCUACUUAUUGUGAAGUUUGUGCUAAUGACUGUCUGUCCCCCUUGGUGUUUGUUCUGUAAUCGAUGGUGACUUCUAAUGCACAAUCAUGCUUCUAAUUAUUGCAUUGAUUUGACUAUUAAGUGAGAUAAAAUUUUAAAUUAUUCUAUGAAUUUUACUUGAAUCAUUUCUUCAAAAUAUUCUUGUUAGGGUUUGUUUGGUUGGGGCAUGUGAGAUUAUGGGGUAAUUUGAUGAUUCCUAGGAAUCAUUUAUCUAGAAAAGUAAUUGUGGAAGAAAAUAAAUUUGGCCACAUUUGGUUGGUGGAAAACUACUCAAAAAAAUAGCGUCGGAAAA
Molecule: long non-coding RNA, 529 nt
Filed under: Phoenix dactylifera (date palm)
Lineage: Eukaryota; Viridiplantae; Streptophyta; Magnoliopsida; Arecales; Arecaceae
Description: long non-coding RNA (PDAC_LNC022446)
Source: RNAcentral